CCUACGGGAGGCAGCAGUGGGGAAUAUUGCACAAUGGGGGAAACCCUGAUGCAGCGACGCCGCGUGUGCGAUGAAGGAUUUCGGUAUGUAAAGUUCUAUCAGCGGGGAAGAAAAUGACGGUACCUGACUAAGCAGCCCCGGCUAACUACGUGCCAGCAGCCGCGGUAAUACGAAGGGGGCAAGCGUUAGCCGGAUUUACUGGGUGUAAAGUGAGCGCAGACGGCUGUGCAAGUCAGAUGUGAAAGCCCGGGGCUCAACCCCGGGACUGCAUUUGGAACUGUGUGGCUGGAGUGUCGGAGAGGCAGGUGGAAUUCCAGGUGUAGCGGUGAAAUGCGUAGAGAUUAGGAGGAACACCAGUGGCGAAGGCGGCCCGCUGGACGAUGACUGACGUUGAGGCUCGAAAGCGUGGGGAGCAAACAGGAUUAGAUACCCUUGUAGUC
This 440-nucleotide ribosomal RNA is filed under the name uncultured bacterium. RNAcentral describes it as "partial 16S ribosomal RNA". It matches the Rfam family "Bacterial small subunit ribosomal RNA", at positions 338 to 795 of the family's 1533-position model. The record is from RNAcentral.